This is a long non-coding RNA of Megalops cyprinoides (Indo-Pacific tarpon), 861 nucleotides long. RefSeq lists it as uncharacterized. NCBI's taxonomy places the organism in Eukaryota, Metazoa, Chordata, Actinopteri, Elopiformes, Megalopidae. The transcript is spliced from 4 exons. The record is from RefSeq and is a predicted model, not a curated record.
UCAUAAAUUUUGCUGUCCUUGCAAUACAUCCAUGUUUUUGUGUGGCUAAAUGUCAAUAGGGAUUUCAAAGCUGGAGAAAAAACGUGUUUAUAUAUUUCCGGUGGUCUUAACACAGACGUGGUUAAAACAGCCUGCUGCAGUAGAUAGCUAACUCACCGGUAACAGGGUCCAUCGGGAUGACAAGACCAGUAUUGAGCCUGAAGCCACAGAAAAGAGACCAGAAGCUGGGCCAGGUGUGUGAAGCAGGGAUUUUUUGACACAUGGACUGUCAGUUAACACAAACACAAUGAAUACUAAUGAAUGACCAGGCUGGACAACUUCAGCACUCUCACAGGAGCCAAUGCAGUUCCAGGUCUGUGGGGCUCAGCCUGCACUUGAGAAGAACUCCUUGCCAACUGAGCCACUCAGGAGCCACCACAAGGGGAAGGUCCCGGCAGACCCGGAAGUAGAUGUGCUCACCAUGCUGAAAGGCAGUCAGGUUCCUCUCACUCUCCUCUGCUGAGGUCCGUACAUACCUGGAUCACACAGUGCAUGACUUGCACACCCACAUUCUGUACAUCCACAACCUGCUUUUGUACAUUUAUCUUUUAUACAUAUUUUUCUUGUGUAAAAGUGUCUGCACUGUACAUGUAUUUUAUGGGUUAUGAGGUUAAUCACAUAGUUAUUCCUAAGAUUGUAUUUCAGACUAUCCAGUGUUCACUGACAAACACCUCAAUACUACAGUAUGAAUCUCACUGUUGCACUAAUGGGUGCUGGUCAGAGCAUCAGAAAAGCACUCAGAAUUGUAAACACAAAAAUUAUAGCACUGAAGUCUGUUAACAUGAGACUACAUAGCAAAGAGGCCAGUUUCACAAUAUUAAA